Molecule: ribosomal RNA, 439 nt
Filed under: uncultured bacterium
Lineage: Bacteria
Description: partial 16S ribosomal RNA
Rfam family: Bacterial small subunit ribosomal RNA
Source: RNAcentral
CUACGGGUCGCUGCAGUGAGGAAUAUUGCACAAUGGGGGAAACCCUGAUGCAGCAACGCCGUGUGGAGGAUGACGCAUUUCGGUGUGUAAACUCCUUUUAUGAGUCAAGAAAAUGACGGUAGCUCAUGAAUAAGCACCGGCUAACUCCGUGCCAGCAGCCGCGGUAAUACGGAGGGUGCAAGCGUUACUCGGAAUCACUGGGCGUAAAGGACGCGUAGGCGGGAUGCCAAGUCAGGUGUGAAAUCCUAUGGCUCAACCAUAGAACUGCACUUGAAACUGGCAACCUAGAGUAUGGGAGGGGGAGAUGGAAUUAGUGGUGUAGGGGUAAAAUCCGUAGAUAUCACUAGGAAUACCGAAAGCGAAGGCGAUCUCCUGGAACAUUACUGACGCUAAGGCGUGAAAGCGUGGGGAGCAAACAGGAUUAGAUACCCCAGUAGUC